Molecule: ribosomal RNA, 468 nt
Filed under: uncultured bacterium
Lineage: Bacteria
Description: partial 16S ribosomal RNA
Rfam family: Bacterial small subunit ribosomal RNA
Source: RNAcentral
GACGAACGCUGGCGGCGUGCUUAACACAUGCAAGUCGAACGGAAAGGCCCUGCUUUUGUGGGGUGCUCGAGUGGCGAACGGGUGAGUAACACGUGAGUAACCUGCCCUUGACUUUGGGAUAACUUCAGGAAACUGGGGCUAAUACCGGAUAGGAUCUCCUGCUGCAUGGUGGGGGUUGGAACGUUUCGGCGGUUGGGGAUGGACUGGCGGCUUAUCAGCUUGUUUGUGGGGUAGUGGCUUACCAAGGCUUUGACGGGUAGCCGGCCUGAGAGGGUGACCGGCGACAAUGGGACUGAGAGACGGCCCAGAAGCGUACGGGAGGCAGAAGUGGGGAAUAUUGCACAAUGGGCGGAAGCCUGAUGCAGCAACGCCGCGUGCGGGAUGACGGCCUUCGGGGUGUAAAACGAUUUAGACUGUGACGAAGCGUGAGUGACGGUAAUGGGUAAAGAAGCACCGGCUAACUACGUG